GGUUAAGCGACUAAGCGUACACGGUGGAUGCCCUGGCAGUCAGAGGCGAUGAAGGGCGUGCUAAUCUGCGAUAAGCGCCGGUAAGGUGAUAUGAACCGUUAUAACCGGCGAUACCCGAAUGGGGAAACCCAGUGUGACUCGUCACACUAUCAUUAACUGAAUCCAUAGGUUAAUGAGGCGAACCGGGGGAACUGAAACAUCUAAGUACCCCGAGGAAAAGAAAUCAACCGAGAUUCCCCCAGUAGCGGCGAGCGAACGGGGAGGAGCCCAGAGCCUGAAUCAGCAUGUGUGUUAGUGGAAGCGUCUGGAAAGGCGCGCGAUACAGGGUGACAGCCCCGUACACAAAAGCGCAUGUGCUGUGAGCUCGAUGAGUAGGGCGGGACACGUGGUAUCCUGUCUGAAUAUGGGGGGACCAUCCUCCAAGGCUAAAUACUCCUGACUGACCGAUAGUGAACCAGUACCGUGAGGGAAAGGCGAAAAGAACCCCGGCGAGGGGAGUGAAAAAGAACCUGAAACCGUGUACGUACAAGCAGUGGGAGCCCCACCACUAAGCCAGUGGUGAACUCCACAUACGCAUCCUUUGCUGAGGAUACGGUUAACGGAGCGAAAGCGACGUUCAACCGCAAAAGAAGCAGAGGGGGCUUAGUGGUGGGGUGACUGCGUACCUUUUGUAUAAUGGGUCAGCGACUUAUAUUCUGUAGCAAGGUUAACCGAAUAGGGGAGCCGGAGGGAAACCGAGUCUUAAUUGGGCGUUAAGUUGCAGGGUAUAGACCCGAAACCCGGUGAUCUAGCCAUGGGCAGGUUGAAGGUUGGGUAACACUAACUGGAGGACCGAACCGACUAAUGUUGAAAAAUUAGCGGAUGACCUGUGGCUGGGGGUGAAAGGCCAAUCAAACCGGGAGAUAGCUGGUUCUCCCCGAAAGCUAUUUAGGUAGCGCCUCGUGAAUUCAUCUCCGGGGGUAGAGCACUGUUUCGGCUAGGGGGCCAUCCCGGCUUACCAACCCGAUGCAAACUGCGAAUACCGGAGAAUGUUAUCACGGGAGACACACGGCGGGUGCUAACGUCCGUCGUGAAGAGGGAAACAACCCAGACCGCCAGCUAAGGUCCCAAAGUCAUGGUUAAGUGGGAAACGAUGUGGGAAGGCCCAGACAGCCAGGAUGUUGGCUUAGAAGCAGCCAUCAUUUAAAGAAAGCGUAAUAGCUCACUGGUCGAGUCGGCCUGCGCGGAAGAUGUAACGGGGCUAAACCAUGCACCGAAGCUGCGGCAGCGACACUCAGGUGUUGUUGGGUAGGGGAGCGUUCUGUAAGCCUGUGAAGGUGUGUCGUGAGGCAUGCUGGAGGUAUCAGAAGUGCGAAUGCUGACAUAAGUAACGAUAAAGCGGGUGAAAAGCCCGCUCGCCGGAAGACCAAGGGUUCCUGUCCAACGUUAAUCGGGGCAGGGUGAGUCGACCCCUAAGGCGAGGCCGAAAGGCGUAGUCGAUGGGAAACGGGUUAAUAUUCCCGUACUUGGUGUUACUGCGAAGGGGGGACGGAGAAGGCUAUGUUGGCCGGGCGACGGUUGUCCCGGUUUAAGCGUGUAGGUGUGUGUUCCAGGUAAAUCCGGUUCACUUUAACACUGAGGCGUGACGACGAGGCACUACGGUGCUGAAGCAACAAAUGCCCUGCUUCCAGGAAAAGCCUCUAAGCAUCAGGUAACAUCAAAUCGUACCCCAAACCGACACAGGUGGUCAGGUAGAGAAUACCAAGGCGCUUGAGAGAACUCGGGUGAAGGAACUAGGCAAAAUGGUGCCGUAACUUCGGGAGAAGGCACGCUGACAUGUAGGUGAAGUGAUUUACUCAUGGAGCUGAAGUCAGUCGAAGAUACCAGCUGGCUGCAACUGUUUAUUAAAAACACAGCACUGUGCAAACACGAAAGUGGACGUAUACGGUGUGACGCCUGCCCGGUGCCGGAAGGUUAAUUGAUGGGGUCAGCGCAAGCGAAGCUCCUGAUCGAAGCCCCGGUAAACGGCGGCCGUAACUAUAACGGUCCUAAGGUAGCGAAAUUCCUUGUCGGGUAAGUUCCGACCUGCACGAAUGGCGUAAUGAUGGCCAGGCUGUCUCCACCCGAGACUCAGUGAAAUUGAACUCGCUGUGAAGAUGCAGUGUACCCGCGGCAAGACGGAAAGACCCCGUGAACCUUUACUAUAGCUUGACACUGAACAUUGAGCCUUGAUGUGUAGGAUAGGUGGGAGGCUUUGAAGCGUGGACGCCAGUCUGCGUGGAGCCGACCUUGAAAUACCACCCUUUAAUGUUUGAUGUUCUAACGUGGACCCGUAAUCCGGGUUGCGGACAGUGUCUGGUGGGUAGUUUGACUGGGGCGGUCUCCUCCUAAAGAGUAACGGAGGAGCACGAAGGUUGGCUAAUCCUGGUCGGACAUCAGGAGGUUAGUGCAAUGGCAUAAGCCAGCUUGACUGCGAGCGUGACGGCGCGAGCAGGUGCGAAAGCAGGUCAUAGUGAUCCGGUGGUUCUGAAUGGAAGGGCCAUCGCUCAACGGAUAAAAGGUACUCCGGGGAUAACAGGCUGAUACCGCCCAAGAGUUCAUAUCGACGGCGGUGUUUGGCACCUCGAUGUCGGCUCAUCACAUCCUGGGGCUGAAGUAGGUCCCAAGGGUAUGGCUGUUCGCCAUUUAAAGUGGUACGCGAGCUGGGUUUAGAACGUCGUGAGACAGUUCGGUCCCUAUCUGCCGUGGGCGCUGGAGAACUGAGGGGGGCUGCUCCUAGUACGAGAGGACCGGAGUGGACGCAUCACUGGUGUUCGGGUUGUCAUGCCAAUGGCACUGCCCGGUAGCUAAAUGCGGAAGAGAUAAGUGCUGAAAGCAUCUAAGCACGAAACUUGCCCCGAGAUGAGUUCUCCCUGAGACUUAGAGUCUCCUGAAGGAACGUUGAAGACGACGACGUUGAUAGGCCGGGUGUGUAAGCGCAGCGAUGCGUUGAGCUAACCGGUACUAAUGAACCGUGAGGCUUAACCUU
RNAcentral lists this ribosomal RNA (3007 nucleotides) under Salmonella enterica. RNAcentral's name for it is "23S ribosomal RNA". It matches the Rfam family "Bacterial large subunit ribosomal RNA". The record is from RNAcentral. Lineage: Bacteria; Pseudomonadati; Pseudomonadota; Gammaproteobacteria; Enterobacterales; Enterobacteriaceae.